GAUGAACGCUGGCGGCGUGCCUAACACAUGCAAGUCGAACGGAAAGGCCCUGCGUUUGUGGGGUGCUCGAUUGCCGAACGGGGGAGUAUCACGCGAGUAACAUGCCCUUGACUUUCGGAUAACUUCACGAAACUGGGGCUAAUAUCGGAUAGGAGAUCCUGCUGCAUGGUGGGGAUUGGAAAGUUUCGGCGGUUGGGGCUGGACUCGCGGGUUAUCAGCUUGUUGGUGGGGUAGUGGCUUACCAAGUCUUUGACGGAUAGCCGGCCUGGGAGGGUGACCGGCGACAAGACGACUGAGGGACGGCGCAGUCGCCAACGGGAGGCAACGGGCGGGAGUAUGACACAGUGAGCGGGAGCGUGAGGCGGCGGCGCCGCGUGCGUAAUGACGGCCUUCGGGGUAUGAACCGCUGUCGCCUGAGACGAAGCGGGAGUGACGGUAAUGAAUAAAGAAGCACCGGCUAACUACGUG
This 468-nucleotide ribosomal RNA is filed under the name uncultured bacterium. RNAcentral's name for it is "partial 16S ribosomal RNA". It matches the Rfam family "Bacterial small subunit ribosomal RNA", at positions 28 to 507 of the family's 1533-position model. The record is from RNAcentral.